AGAUGUUGAGGCUUCCACACUUCUGGCCAGGCAUUCCCUUCAUCUAAACCAUUUUGUACUGCCUCUUCUGGGACCUUGCUCUACUAAGCAGUCCUCUUCCCAUUGCAUUCAGUUGCUUACUCUCUACUGUUUCCUUCUUCCUGUAGUUUAUAAAUAUGCCAUAAACCCUACCUUGAAAUUAAAUCUCCCUAUAGCAGCUACCACCUAAUCUCUAUCUCAUCCACAGAAGAGAAGCAGGCUCACUACUAAACCCACUAUAAUCUCACAUCUAUCAUUCUACUACAGACUGUUCUUACUA
RNAcentral lists this long non-coding RNA (298 nucleotides) under Homo sapiens (human). Its description in RNAcentral is "non-protein coding lnc-C3orf30-12:1". The record is from RNAcentral. Lineage: Eukaryota; Metazoa; Chordata; Mammalia; Primates; Hominidae.